GGUUUAAUGCGAUAAUACGCGCGAAAUCUUACCAGCUUUUGAAUUCUAAAAAAUAUUAUUUUAACAGAAGUCGAUAAUUUACUUAAAUAAAGUUUUAAGUAAACUUUUAGAACAGGUGUUGCAUGGCUGUCGUCAGCUCGUGUUGUGAAAUGUUUGGUUAAGUCCUUUAACGAGCGCAACCCUUUUUUUAGUUGCUAACAGAUACUCUAGAAAUAAAUUUACGAUGAGUAAAUGGAAGAAGGAUGACGUCAAGUCCUCAUGGCCCUUAUAGGCUGGGCUACACACGUGCUACAAUGGUAAUCACAGAAGGAAGCAAAUAUGAAAAAUUGGAGCAAAUCCCUAAAAAUUAUCUUAGUUCGGAUUAUAGACUGCAAUUUGUCUAUAUGAAGUUGGAAUCGUAAGUAAUCGC
Molecule: ribosomal RNA, 409 nt
Filed under: uncultured bacterium
Lineage: Bacteria
Description: bacterial SSU rRNA
Rfam family: Bacterial small subunit ribosomal RNA
Source: RNAcentral